RNAcentral lists this unclassified non-coding RNA (760 nucleotides) under Hevea brasiliensis (rubber tree). Lineage: Eukaryota; Viridiplantae; Streptophyta; Magnoliopsida; Malpighiales; Euphorbiaceae. The record is from RNAcentral.
CAAGUGCAUAACUCCAAAAUGGCAGAAGAAUUGAAGCUACUUGGCGCAUGGGCUAGUCCUUUUAGUCUCAGAAUAGAGCUAGCCCUGAAGCUAAAAGGCAUAAACAUAAAAUAUCAGUACAUAGAAGAAGAUCUCUCCAACAAGAGUCCUUUACUUCUCAAGUCCAAUCCAGUUCACAAGAAAAUUCCUGUGCUCAUACACAAUGGAAAACCAAUUGCAGAGUCACUUGUCAUUCUUGAAUACAUAGAUGAGACCUGGAAAAACAAUCCUCUCUUGCCUGAAAAUCCUUAUGAUCGAGCAAUUGCUCGUUUCUGGGCUAAAUUCAUCGAUGAAAAGAUCCUGCAAAUAGCUGUCAAGUUCAGGUUAGCCAAAGAGAAGGAGAAAGAGCAGAUCAUUCAAGAACUUGGUGAGCAGCUGCAGUUUCUUGAGAAGGAGUUAGAAGGAAAGGAAUUUUUUGGAGGUGAGAGCAUCGGAUACGUAGACGUUGUGGCAUAUUUUAUAGUCAAUUGGCUCCAAGUGCAACAAGAAGUUAGGCAGAUAGUAUUCAUCAGUGAAGAGAAAUUUCCAGUUUUAUGCAAGUGGAUGGGAAAGCUUCAUGAAAUAGAUGUGGUCAAUGGGUGCCUGCCUCCAAAAGAUAAACAUUAUGCUUAUAUGAGAGCUCAAAUUGAGGCUGCAAAAUCUGCUAUCAAAUAAUUAAUUAGUCUUUCAAUGCUUCAUAGUUUCUGAAUCUAUUUGCCUUCGUUCUUGUUUUAUUGCUCUG